CUUCGGUGAUGAUGACUGAUGACGAGUCUGAUGGGGCACUUUCUGUAUCAGGUUUCCUAGGACAGGUUGUACGUUCUGUGCACCUGGAUUCAGACUCCUGGACAGAGUGUCUUUCCAUUGACGAAUCUGAGGCAUUUAUCUGAGAAGG
Molecule: small nucleolar RNA, 148 nt
Organism: Callorhinchus milii (elephant shark)
Lineage: Eukaryota; Metazoa; Chordata; Chondrichthyes; Chimaeriformes; Callorhinchidae
Source: Ensembl